CGCGGCGCGGCGCGGCCCGCCCCUGGCGUCCACGGUCACCGCCGGUGACUUUCUGGACUCGUCGUCAGCCCGGGCCGCGGCGCGGCCGGUGGCGACCGCGGGGAGGGCCAGAGUACGUCCGAGGGCUCCCGCGCAAGGGGCUGCGGCCCUGGAGAGUUGCUGUAGAAGAGGGAUAAGAGAGGAAGACAACACAGGAGGAGAUAAGUCACUCUGGAUACAAGGGAAGGUAUCUUAAAGGAUGAAGACUUUCUUGAUGAACAGCAUCAGCAUUUUCUGUUGAUAAUAGCAACUGGCAAAUAAAGACUCUAAUGACACUGCUGUGCAGUGUGACUCUUCAAGUAGGCCCUGGAUUU
This 353-nucleotide long non-coding RNA is filed under the name Lynx canadensis (Canada lynx). RNAcentral describes it as "lncRNA (ENSLCNG00005009543.1)". Lineage: Eukaryota; Metazoa; Chordata; Mammalia; Carnivora; Felidae. The record is from RNAcentral.